RNAcentral lists this ribosomal RNA (253 nucleotides) under uncultured bacterium. RNAcentral describes it as "partial 16S ribosomal RNA". It matches the Rfam family "Bacterial small subunit ribosomal RNA", at positions 524 to 776 of the family's 1533-position model. The record is from RNAcentral.
UACAGAGGUCGCAAGCGUUAAUCGGAUUUACUGGGCGUAAAGCGUGUGUAGGUGGUUGUACAAGUCGGUUGUGAAAUCCCCGGGCUCAACCUGGGAACUGCUUCCGAGACUGUGCGACUAGAGAUCGGUAGAGGGCGGUGGAAUUUCCGGUGUAGCGGUGAAAUGCGUAGAUAUCGGAAGGAACACCAAUGGCGAAGGCAGACGCCUGGGCCUGAUCUGACACUGAGACACGAAAGCGUGGGGAUCAAACAGG